AAAGAAUCAGCUUAGAAGCAAAGAGAGAAAGGAAGAAAAGAGAAAGAAAGAAAAGAGAAAGAAGAAAAAGACAAAGAAGGUUUGGCCUAGUGGUUCCAAGCUAAGGAAGCAAAGGUCUUCCAAGAAUUGAAAGAAAUAAAUCCAUGCAUGUAGGUCGAUUUUGGAAUGUAUGGUGAUUUUGAGCUAGAUAAGCAAUGAGAAUGAUGACCAUGGAUGUGCGGAAAUUGUGAACCAUAUGCAGAACUCAAGCUAAAACCGAGAGGAAAGUUUGUCGUAGUAGCAUGCCGGACGAGGUAACGAGUGACUGGCAAGAAAAGUUAGCUAGAUACGCACUUGAAUUGAUAACAACGUAGCAUCCCGCUAUUGUAAGCCAACAUCAACGAGACUACCAUGGCAUGUGGGAAUCCGGUGGAGUGGUGU
Theobroma umbraticum is the source of this 420-nucleotide long non-coding RNA. RefSeq lists it as uncharacterized. Lineage: Eukaryota; Viridiplantae; Streptophyta; Magnoliopsida; Malvales; Malvaceae. The record is from RefSeq and is a predicted model, not a curated record.